AUGGAUAAUGGUAUUCCAAGGAGCAAAAACCAAAUCAGGGGUGAUACAGUGUGGACGGACAGCAGUGAUGACGGAGACGGUCAAAAAGUUGGAUUUGGCCCUGACGCAGAACCUGCUGAUCGGACGAAGGAGCGAGGUGUGGAAAAUAAUGGCUCCCCCGAUGUCAAAGAUGAUGCUGGAUCACACAAAUGGACACACAGAUCCUCACAAGACUCUUUAUUGGGAUGUUCUCCAAAUAAUCCUGGGGAGCAGCAGCAUUUGCUGGACUGUUGUGAAGAAGCCUCGUUAAUCGGUAUCGGCAGAGUAUCGGAUGACCCAUCUCCUUCGCUGUCACCAGUACCUGAUAAAGAGGAUGAAACUAAAAAACAGAUUCGACAUAACCUUGACGUAGAUUCACAUGGUCGGUUAUCAAAAAAACAAAUAACAGAAUUGGGGAAUGAUCAAAUUGAUGACGGUCAUUUGGUUGAUAAAGCUGACAGUUGCACAUCAGCAGUGAAAGGGGAUGUUCUGAAUAGCCCAUAUACCUCUGCAUAUGCCAAAGCCACGGGAUUAGAGGAGGCAGCUGCUGUCGAAGUAGAUGAUGGUUCAAGUGGGGAUUGUGAUCACACACCCCAGAAACUGCAUGACAGUCUUAGUAGGACUACAGUUAAAGAGUUUGAUGUAGGAGAUGGUUCUGAUAAUGCUCACAAUAGAUGCCUGAGUGCAGGGAAUCAGCUCAAUGUUGAAUCUAGACUAAAUUCACGUAUUCACCCAGAAAGUGGAAAUGCUGCUUUCAGCAGAACAGAAAUGUCGUCUGGUGACCUCAGGGGACAACCCACCACUGAUGAUGUCACUGCUGUUGAGAACUGUGAUUCCAGAAGGAACUGCGCUGAUGAGUUGUUACUUCAGACUGACAUUGAUGAUGUUGAUCUAGACUCACCUGAUGAGGCAAAGAGUGUAGUGGAGAGAAGUGAAGAAGUCAGAAUCUCGGAAGGGCCUCUCACACAGGUAAAAGAGAAGAACGUCAGGUACUUUUAG
RNAcentral lists this long non-coding RNA (1017 nucleotides) under Takifugu rubripes (torafugu). RNAcentral describes it as "lncRNA (ENSTRUG00000028953.1)". Lineage: Eukaryota; Metazoa; Chordata; Actinopteri; Tetraodontiformes; Tetraodontidae. The record is from RNAcentral.